AUGAACGCUAGCGAUAGGCUUAACCCAUGCAAGUCGAGGGGCAGCAUGGUCUUAGCUUGCUAAGACUGAUGGCGACCGGCGCACGGGUGCGUAACGCGUAUGCAACUCGCCUCACAGAGGGGGAUAACCCGUCGAAAGACGGACUAAUACCGCGUACACUCCAUCUUGGGCAUCCAAGGUAGAGGAAAUGAAAUUCGCUGUGAGAUAGGCAUGCGUCCCAUUAGCUAGUUGGUGAGGUAACGGCUCACCAAGGCGACGAUGGGUAGGGGAACUGAGAGGUUGAACCCCCACACUGGUACUGAGACACGGACCAGACUCCUACGGGAGGCAGCAGUGAGGAAUAUUGGUCAAUGGGCGAGAGCCUGAACCAGCCAAGUCGCGUGAAGGAUGACUGUCUUAUGGAUUGUAAACUUCUUUUAUACGGGAAUAACAAGAGUCACGUGUGACUCCCUGCAUGUACCGUAUGAAUAAGCAUCGGCUAACUCCGUG
Molecule: ribosomal RNA, 489 nt
Filed under: uncultured bacterium
Lineage: Bacteria
Description: partial 16S ribosomal RNA
Rfam family: Bacterial small subunit ribosomal RNA
Source: RNAcentral